AUUGAACGCUGGCGGCAGGCCUAACACAUGCAAGUCGAACGGAGUGGCGAACGGGUGAGUAACACGUGGGUGACCUGCCCUGCACUUCGGGAUAAGCCUGGGAAACUGGGUCUAAUACCGGAUAGUGUGGGAUGGGCCCGCGGCCUAUCAGCUUGUUGGUGGGGUAAUGGCCUACCAAGGCGGCGACGGGUAGCCGGCCUGCGAGGGUGGACGGCCACAUUGGGAAUGGGGCACCGGCCGGACUUCUAAGGGAGGCAGGAGUGAGGGAUAUUGCACAAAGGGGGGAAGGCUGAUGCAGCGACGCCGCGUGGGGGAUGACGGCCUUCGGGUUGUAAACUCCUUUCACCAUCGACGCGGUAUCUAACCAGAAAGCCACGGCUAACUACGUGCCAGCAGCCGCGGUAAUUC
RNAcentral lists this ribosomal RNA (408 nucleotides) under uncultured bacterium. RNAcentral describes it as "partial 16S ribosomal RNA". It matches the Rfam family "Bacterial small subunit ribosomal RNA", at positions 28 to 526 of the family's 1533-position model. The record is from RNAcentral.